AGGACGAACGCUGGCGGCGUGCUUAACGACAUGCAAGUCGAGCGGAAAGGCCCUUCGGGGUACUCGAGCGGCGAACGGGUGAGUAACACGUGAGCAACCUGCCCUUAGCUCUGGGAUAGCUCCGGGAAACCGGAAUUAAUACCGGAUACGACCUAGGCCGACAUCGGCCAUGGUGGAAAGUUUUUCGGCUAGGGAUGGACUCGCGGCCUAUCAGCUAGUUGGUGGGUAAAGGCCUACCAAGGCGACGACGGGUAGCCGGCCUGAGAGGGCGACCGGCCACACUGGGACUGAGACACGGCCCAGACUCCUACGGGAGGCAGCAGUGGGGAAUCUUGCGCAAUGGGCGAAAGCCUGACGCAGCGACGCCGUGUGAGGGAUGAAGGUCUUCGGGUUGUAAACCUCUUUCGAGCAGGGACGAUUGUGACGGUACUGCGAGAAGAAGCUCCGGCCAACUACGCGCCAGCAGCCGC
RNAcentral lists this ribosomal RNA (470 nucleotides) under uncultured bacterium. Its description in RNAcentral is "SSU rRNA". It matches the Rfam family "Bacterial small subunit ribosomal RNA", at positions 26 to 518 of the family's 1533-position model. The record is from RNAcentral.